Molecule: long non-coding RNA, 1480 nt
Organism: Oreochromis aureus
Lineage: Eukaryota; Metazoa; Chordata; Actinopteri; Cichliformes; Cichlidae
Source: Ensembl
AAUGUUUUGUUCUGUUCUUCCCAGUCCUUCAAGCACUAAUUCAACUUUCUUGAAAGGUAAAAAGCAGAAAAACAACUGAUGUCACCUCCCCCUUUUCUCUCAGUAAAUGAAAAAAAAAAGAAAAAAAGCAGAACUUCAGUAAAGUAAAGUUGAUUGGAUCAGCAGUGAGCAGAAAUGGCAUCUUGGCUUGGACUGUUGCUGAUGAUGUGUGGAGUAUCUCAUGGUGUGGAAACUUACUGUGAUGGCAGACAGAAUGGGACCCAAUGUUAUGGAGCUUUGGGAGGAACUGUGAACAUCCAACUGAUGAGCCAAAUCUUAGAAAUACCCAGAUAUCAGCUGUUCAGAAAUUCAAUGGAACAUUAUCAGGUCUGUGGACUCUACGGUUGUUUAUUCAAGCUCCUGUGUCCUCUGUCCUGCUGGUCUCUGAGUGUCUGUCCCAGGGAGAGAUGAGGGUGUCCUGCUCCUCUGAGGGAGGGGACAGUCCUCAGUACAGCUGGACUCUGGAUGGACGCACACUGACAGAUGCUGAGCUUUCUGUAAAUAAUGAAACUAACAACAUCACUCUGAAACAGAACGUCUCAGGAUGUCUGGUCUGCUCAGUCAGGAACAACGUCAGUGAUGUCUCCAAAGAACAGUGUAUAGCUACCUGUGGUCAGUAAGAGAUUAUUAAUAAACUCUGAUAAUGGUCACUUGGUCACUUUGUACAUCUUUCAUGUAUCAUCUUCUUGUUUAUUCAUAUGCUUCAUUUUCAUUGAUUGCACCUCGAUUAAUGGGAGACUAAUAUCACACCCUUUAAUCAAAUACCUGAUUGUACAUUAAUAAAUGAAGUCCAAGUUUAAUGAAGUGAUUUAAUUGAGGUUGUUGUUUUAUAUUCUUUUACAUUCCCCCCCCAAAACAUGUUUGUUGACUUGUUUGUUUUGUCGUGUUUAAUUUUAGAAGCAGAUUUUUUGCCACUGAUCAGUGGUGUGGUUUCAGCACUGCUCAUUUUAUUAGUUGUGGGUGUAGCACUUGUUUGUGUUCAGAGGAAAAAACAAAAGAACAAAUCAACAAAAAAAGCAGAGAAAGAAGACCAAGAAGUAAUGUAUGCUGAUGUUAGGGUCAUGCAGCAGCAGGGCAAGCCAGUGGAUGAAGGAGGAGAAAAGGUGUUGUAUGGCCAAGUCAAGUUUUCAUAGUGAUCUCAUCACUCUGAACAGGAUUGUGAUUGAACAGGCGUGUUUAUAUGUCAACAUUCCCCAAAAAAUCAGUGAUGUCAAAAUGCAUAAAUGUCUUUUCGCUUGAUUUCCUAUCAGAAAAAUAUAAACCAUCAAAACGUAUGAAUACUGAUUUUCUGUGCUUCAUUUGUAUUUCUGUAAUAUAACACAACAUAAAUUCACCAAGUCAUAGAAUCGUGUUUGUGUUUAAUUGCAAAUACUGUAAAUGUUUUUAAACUGAAGAAGGUUCUCAGCAGACGAAACUUGAACAAGUCCAGUCUCUUUUCUUU